AGGUCAUCUUGCAGCUUCAAU
RNAcentral lists this microRNA (21 nucleotides) under Citrus sinensis (sweet orange). Its description in RNAcentral is "csi-miR167c-3p". Its record names the gene csi-miR167c-3p. The record is from miRBase by way of RNAcentral. Lineage: Eukaryota; Viridiplantae; Streptophyta; Magnoliopsida; Sapindales; Rutaceae.